Molecule: non-coding RNA, 83 nt
Organism: Echinostoma caproni
Lineage: Eukaryota; Metazoa; Platyhelminthes; Trematoda; Plagiorchiida; Echinostomatidae
Source: Rfam
GUCAGGAUGGCCGAGCGGUCUAAGGCGCUGCGUCCAGGUCGCAGUCCACUCUGUGGGUGUGGGUUCGAAUCCCGCUUCUGACA